This is a non-coding RNA of Malus domestica (apple), 1540 nucleotides long. The record is from RefSeq and is a predicted model, not a curated record. NCBI's taxonomy places the organism in Eukaryota, Viridiplantae, Streptophyta, Magnoliopsida, Rosales, Rosaceae.
AAGCUACAACACAAAGAACAAAAGUCAGUAGUAACCUUGACUGUAUGAUACAAUCCACAACGCUGCAAGACAAACUGCUAACUUGCAUAAGGGUUGAAACAAAAAUGGAUUCCCUUCCCUUCCAUUCUAAAUUAACUUUAAUUGUUGAUUAAUGGCGGUAUAAAACCAGUUCCAUAUCCCCUAAUCCUCCAUCACCCUUCUUCCUCACUCUAUUGCUUAAUUGUAAUUAACUCUGGUAAUUAAUUCUGCUUCUGCUAAUCCAUGGCAAGCCACAGCCCUUCUUCCGAAAAGAAAUCAGAUACAUUGGAGGUUGGAGAUGUCAAUGAUUUCAAAGUUCAUGUGUUCAAAUCAUCAUCCGAGUUGCUUGAAAAGCUGCAUGACAAGUGGAGCCAAGUUGAAAAGAAACCAUACCCAGCCAUGUUCUCGAGCACUUAUGGUGGAAUUAUUCUUGAUCCAGCUUUGAUGGUGAUUCCAAUUGACGAUCACAUGGUUCAUCGAGGCCAUGGUGUGUUUGACACAGCGGUUAUCUUAAACGGAUUCAUCUAUGAACUUGAUGUCCACCUAAACCGCUUCCUAAGAUCAUCUUCAAAUGCGAAGAUCUCCUCUCCUUUCCCUCGAUCAACUCUUCGAACCAUUCUUGUGCAACUGGCUGCAGCAUCACAGAUCAAGAAGGGAUCUCUAAGAUAUGGCUGAGUGCAGGUCCCGGAAACUUCUUGCUCUCUCCUACAGACCUGCCAACACCCGCUUUCUAUGCAGUAGUAAUUGAUGAGGACUUUUCUCAGUGCAAAGAAGGGGUUAAAGUGAUCACAUCCACCAUUCCCAUGAAAUCACCUGAGUUUGCAACAAUGAAGAACGUGAACUACCUUCCAAAUGUCCUUGCAAAAUUGGAAGCCGAAGAGAAGGGAGCAAAUGCUUCCAUAUGGGUUGAUGAGGAAGGUUACAUAGCAGAAGGUCCAAAUGUGAAUGUCGCUUUUAUAACUCAUGACAAGGAGCUUAUAGUGCCCUUCUUCGAUAAGAUCCUUAGUGGGUGCACCGUGCUAAGGAUGCUUGAACUAGCACCGAAGUUGGUUGAGCAGGGGCGCCUUAAAGCUAUAAGGACUGCAAAUCUAACUGUGGAAGAAGCCAAAAACUCAGCUGAAAUGAUGUAUGUAGGAAGCACACUUCCUGUUUUGCCAAUUAUCGCGUGGGAUGAACAACCUAUUGGAGAUGGAAAGGUGGGAGAAUUGACAAUGGCACUCUCAGAUCUUGUUUGGGAGGAUAUGACAGCAGGUCCGGUUGGUACGCAGAGGACUGCUGUUCCUUAUACCGAGUAAUCAGAUCAGGAGGCAGAAGGAGGGCGUGUUCUCGCAUCUAAGCUGCCUCAUUGAUCAUUACCCCUGGUGUUACAAAUGCUUUGUCGAUGCUCCAUCUUUGGUUUCUUUGUUUAUGAAGAUGGAGAGAAAAUGAUUGAAUAAAAUACUUCAGAAACUUUUCUUGGAAUGAAAAUCUUUUAGCAGAAGAUAUAUUGGAAAAUAUGGGAAACCACAUUGCAGUAAUUUAA